UGGGGAAUUGUUCACAAUGGGCGCAAGCCUGAUGACGCAACGCCGCGUGGGGGAUGAAGGUCUUCGGAUUGUAAACCCCUGUCGAAUGGGACGAAUGGCCUCUGGGCUAAUCACCAGAGGAAUGACGGUACCGUUAAAGGAAGCCACGGCUAACUCUGUGCCAGCAGCCGCGGUAAUACAGAGGUGGCAAGCGUUGUUCGGAAUUACUGGGCGUAAAGGGCGCGUAGGCGGCCAUCUAAGUCAGACGUGAAAUCCCCCGGCUUAACCUGGGAACUGCGUCUGAUACUGGAAGGCUCGAGUUUGGGAGAGGGAUGUAGAAUUCCAGGUGUAGCGGUGAAAUGCGUAGAUAUCUGGAGGAAUACCGGUGGCGAAGGCGGCAUCCUGGACCAACACUGACGCUGAGGCGCGAAAGCUAGGGGAGCAAACGGG
This 429-nucleotide ribosomal RNA is filed under the name uncultured bacterium. RNAcentral's name for it is "bacterial SSU rRNA". It matches the Rfam family "Bacterial small subunit ribosomal RNA", at positions 355 to 776 of the family's 1533-position model. The record is from RNAcentral.